UGAUUAUGAUCAAGAGUUAGUUAUGAUUAAGUAUUUAUACUUCCAUUUAAUCACAUCCUUAAUCAUGAAUUAGCAAAAUGCAAUGUGAUUAGCAAAAUGUGACUUUACUAAGCAAGGGCAAAUAUGUCUUUUCACACAGGCCCUGUGACAGCUGUAUGACAGCUCACACACUCUCCAAAUAUCAGUUAUGAUGAGUUGGCAUUGGUCUCAUGGUCAUUGGACUUGUAAUUCUCAUUUUCACCA
RNAcentral lists this long non-coding RNA (243 nucleotides) under Lathyrus oleraceus (garden pea). Its description in RNAcentral is "Pisum sativum (pea) long non-coding RNA (PSAT_LNC019033)". The record is from RNAcentral. Lineage: Eukaryota; Viridiplantae; Streptophyta; Magnoliopsida; Fabales; Fabaceae.